Molecule: ribosomal RNA, 194 nt
Filed under: uncultured bacterium
Lineage: Bacteria
Description: partial 16S ribosomal RNA
Rfam family: Bacterial small subunit ribosomal RNA
Source: RNAcentral
ACGCUCGACACCUGAGGCAGCAGUGGGGGAUAUUGCACAAUGGAGGAAACUCUGAUGCAGCGACGCCGCGUGAGGGAAGAAGGUUUUCGGAUUGUAAACCUCUGUCUUCGGUGACGAAAAUGACGGUAGCCGAGGAGGAAGCCACGGCUAACUACGUGCCAGUAGCCGCGGUAAUCUGAGCGGGCUGGCAAGGC